Molecule: long non-coding RNA, 1179 nt
Filed under: Felis catus (domestic cat)
Lineage: Eukaryota; Metazoa; Chordata; Mammalia; Carnivora; Felidae
Description: lncRNA (ENSFCAG00000051324.1)
Source: RNAcentral
GUUAUGUUUGUCUCCCUUGAUUUAGAACAUUCCAGAUUUCACUAUGCAGCUUCUGAAAUGUACAGCAUGUGUGUGUUUGCUUUUAUAGUAAUUCACUAUUAUUUACAUCUCUACUUACACAGUUACUACCUUUCAAAACAGAAAUGGGGAUGUGAAAUAGAAGAUGCCAGAAACCACUUUAUCUCACUGAUUGGCUUUCCCAACCACAGUGCUCUUCUUUCCAUAUAAAAUAAGAUUUGUUUACAUGGAAAGCAAAAAUAGCACAAUGGAUUUAUAGAGGGCCCCAUUGCACAUCAUACUUCGAAGUUUCCUGAUUAAUUCAGGAAAUACAACACUACGAAAGUUCACACAUAUGAAUACAUUUUGAUUACUAUUUCUAUGUAAACUUACUAUCAAGAGAAUUUUACCCAUGAGGCGAUAUAACAUUGUAAGCUCCGUACCCGAUCACAAUGAUUUGUUCUUUUACCUUGGACAAAAUAGUUCAGUCUUCCUGGACCUUUGAGGCCUUAUCUGUAAAAUUAGAGAGUUGAACUUAAAUAAGCUUUAAUGAAUGUCCCAGCUUCAUGAAUCUGGAGGUUGAGGUGAAUUUGCCCAUGCUAUUUUAAUUAUCAACAUGGGAUUAUCUAUAGCAAAUUGUAGGCCACCUCUGUUCAUUCUCAGACAAAAUGUACCACCCAAUAUAAACCAAUUUUAAUAGGAGGACAGUAUAAUGAAAAAGGUUCAUAUGAUGGAAUAAAUAUGACAAAUGUUAGUCAUACAUAUUCUUGAUUACCCUAUCGGGGCAGACUAUUGAGAGUUAAUCAUGUUUUUUAAGUGGCCUUCGGUAUUGCUUAGAGUAAGUCCGUUUCACACUUGCCUCUUUAAAUGCUGCCCACGGGAUCUGAGAAUUUGAAAAGCAGGCUCUACAGAUGCAUCAUCAAGGUCAAGGGAGUUGCCACUUGUAACUUAGAACAACAUAGCAUUGUCGUCUGUUUAAAUCCCUCUUCAGGGAUGAUACCCUCCCAUCUAUUCAUUCUGCAAGAUUCUAGAAUCUUAGACAACAUUCUAUCAAGUAGAACCUUCUGCAUUUCAUUUUGGCCUUAUUCACUGAAAAUUAUGGAGUCCAAAGCUUUCGUUUGUACUGCUUCUAUAUAUACCUCCAGGGCAAGAAAAUGGAUGAGAAGAAUGGUUAUCUUAUAG